UGGCUAAGGAAAAGAAAGCAGCACCGUAACACACCCAACAGGAACUGGGGUCACUGUGACGAGGGGCACAGAACUUGUGGUCUCCCUAUGAGCAAGUUCCCUACAUGU
Otolemur garnettii (small-eared galago) is the source of this 108-nucleotide small nucleolar RNA. Lineage: Eukaryota; Metazoa; Chordata; Mammalia; Primates; Galagidae. The record is from Ensembl.